AACCUAUAGUGAUGACACCUUUUUAACAGAUCCUUGUAUCUCUCCCAUGCAUCGUAGAGUGUUUCUAAAUCUAUCUACAAAAAAGAGGAGAUAUCAUUACGUAAUUU
RNAcentral lists this small nucleolar RNA (107 nucleotides) under Gossypium hirsutum (cotton). Its description in RNAcentral is "Plant small nucleolar RNA R71". It matches the Rfam family "Plant small nucleolar RNA R71". Rfam says of the family: R71 is a member of the C/D box family of snoRNAs containing the C (UGAUGA) and D (CUGA) box motifs. Lineage: Eukaryota; Viridiplantae; Streptophyta; Magnoliopsida; Malvales; Malvaceae. The record is from Rfam by way of RNAcentral.